This 449-nucleotide ribosomal RNA is filed under the name uncultured bacterium. RNAcentral describes it as "bacterial SSU rRNA". It matches the Rfam family "Bacterial small subunit ribosomal RNA", at positions 329 to 794 of the family's 1533-position model. The record is from RNAcentral.
GGCCAGACUCCUACGGGAGGCAGCAGUGGGGAAUAUUGGGCAAUGGGCGCAAGCCUGACCCAGCAACGCCGCGUGAAGGAAGAAGGCUUUCGGGUUGUAAACUUCUUUUCUCAGGGACGAAUAGAUGACGGUACCUGAGGAAUAAGCCACGGCUAACUCCGUGCCAGCAGCCGCGGUAAUACGGAGGAUGCGAGCGUUAUCCGGAUUUAUUGGGUUUAAAGGGUGCGCAGGCGGCCUGUUAAGUCAGCGGUAAAAGCCGGGGGUCCACCCCCGGCGAGCCGUUGAAACUGGCGGGCUGGAGUUGGAGAGAAGUACGCGGAAUGCGCGGUGUAGCGGUGAAAUGCUUAGAUAUCGCGCAGAACCCCGAUUGCGAAGGCAGCGUACCGGCUCCACACUGACGCUGAGGCACGAAAGCGUGGGUAUCGAACAGGAUUAGAUACCCUAGUACA